AGCAGCCGCGGUAAUUCCAGCUCCAAUAGCGUAUAUUAAAGUUGUUGCAGUUAAAAAGCUCGUAGUUGAAUUUCGGGAUCAAAUUGUCGGUCGUGCCUCGGUACGCACUGGUAUUAUUGGUUCCUACCUUCUGAAGAACCGCGAUGUCAUUAAUUUGGUGUCGUGGGGAAUCAGGACUGUUACUUUGAAAAAAUUAGAGUGUUUAAAGCAAGCGCACGCUUGAAUACAUUAGCAUGGAAUAAUGAAAUAGGACGUUUGAUUCUAUUUUGUUGGUUUCUAGGAUCGACGUAAUGAUUAAUAGGGAUAGUUGGGGGCAUUAGUAUUCAAUUGUCAGAGGUGAAAUUCUUGGAUUUAUUGAAGACUAACUACUGCGAAAGCAUUUGCCAAGGAUGUUUUCAUUAAUCAAGAACGAAAGUUAGGGGAUCGAAGACGAUCAGAUACCGUCGUAGUCUUAACCAUAAACUAUGCCGACUAGGGAUCGGAUGAUGUUAAUUUUUUAAUGACUCA
RNAcentral lists this ribosomal RNA (507 nucleotides) under uncultured Glomus. RNAcentral's name for it is "SSU rRNA". It matches the Rfam family "Eukaryotic small subunit ribosomal RNA", at positions 569 to 1078 of the family's 1831-position model. Lineage: Eukaryota; Fungi; Glomeromycota; Glomeromycetes; Glomerales; Glomeraceae. The record is from RNAcentral.